CGCGUUCCACGGCGCCCUGGCAGCUCGCAAACUCCUCUGCUCGUCCAUUGCUACCCACCGGCGCUUCGUCCAUGGCCACCCUCCUCAGUUUGGCUCUGUCGGAUGUGGCCGGGUUACCUUGACGUUUGACCUGCUGGACGCAUCUUGGCACAUGGGGCUGGAGCUGCUGGCUGCAUCUUGGCACAUGUUGUUCUGUCAACACUGAAGAUGAUCAUCAAAAGCCAAAAGGAAGACAGAUGAGCCAGCAAAAAGAUCAGCAGAUCUCCAACUCAAAUAUGCUGUUGUGCAUGCCUCUGUCAUGUAGUUUAGGAUGGUUGAUGCUUUGUACAUUUUUCUUCAGAAAUUUCUAAGUUAAGAUAGGAUAGUUGAUGCAGAUUGUGGAGCAAAUGUAUUGUAUAAAUGAAUUUGAUGUACACUAUGACUAAAAGCUCCUGGUAUUUGUAUAAAAGCUCCUGGUAUUUGAAGUUCCUUGUGCAUAAAAGCUCUUGGUAUUUGAAGCUCUUGUGAUAAAGUUUUUUUUUUAAUAUCCAAUAAUACAAUCUGAAAUGUGUAUUGCUGCCUACUUUGUUGAAUAAAGAGAUAAACAGAAUCAUG
This 594-nucleotide long non-coding RNA is filed under the name Triticum aestivum (bread wheat). Its description in RNAcentral is "long non-coding RNA (TAES_LNC027035)". The record is from RNAcentral. Lineage: Eukaryota; Viridiplantae; Streptophyta; Magnoliopsida; Poales; Poaceae.